UACGUAGGUGGCAAGCGUUGUCCGGAUUUACUGGGCGUAAAGAGCGCGCAGGCGGUCGUUCAAGUCGCGUGUGAAAGCCCCCGGCUCAACUGGGGAGGGUCACGCGAUACUGAUCGACUGGAAGGCAGGAGAGGGUAGUGGAAUUCCCGGUGUAGUGGUGAAAUGCGUAGAUAUCGGGAGGAACACCAGUGGCGAAGGCGGCAUCCUGGACCAACACUGACGCUGAGUGAGCGAAAGCCAGGGGAGCAAACAGG
RNAcentral lists this ribosomal RNA (254 nucleotides) under uncultured bacterium. Its description in RNAcentral is "partial 16S ribosomal RNA". It matches the Rfam family "Bacterial small subunit ribosomal RNA", at positions 524 to 776 of the family's 1533-position model. The record is from RNAcentral.